Hibiscus syriacus is the source of this 456-nucleotide long non-coding RNA. RefSeq lists it as uncharacterized. The record is from RefSeq and is a predicted model, not a curated record. Lineage: Eukaryota; Viridiplantae; Streptophyta; Magnoliopsida; Malvales; Malvaceae. The transcript is spliced from 2 exons.
UUUGGCUAUGGACAAUGGACUCCACAUAACGAAAAACUUACAAUCUAGUCGAUGCUCUUACGAGACACACUACUCAGGUUUAUCCAAAUUCUUGGACAGCCAUAUUGAUCUCCAUGGACAACCAAGGGAUGUGGAACCUGAGGUCUGCACAAUGGGAAGACAGUAUCUGGACAACAAUUUUACUUAAGAGUCUUUGACCCUGUGCGAAGUCUUACCACGAAUACGAUAUUCCUUCUAAUGUCUUACCUGUGGCAAAGCUGUUGGAAUUCGCCCUUAGAUUGAGUUAUAAACCCAUGGAGAGUGUUUGGUUGCAGAGAAAGUAGAUGUGGAUUAAAAUGUUCGAGUUUGUAUGUGUUUUUUCAUUUGUAUGUGAUGGAAAACUUGAUCAGUUGUACUGUAUUAGCUCCAAGGGAUUUAAUUAUAUAAAGUUAUAUAAGUUUUAAAUCAUAGUAUCAA